Acanthochromis polyacanthus (spiny chromis) is the source of this 398-nucleotide long non-coding RNA. RefSeq lists it as uncharacterized. Lineage: Eukaryota; Metazoa; Chordata; Actinopteri; Pomacentridae. The record is from RefSeq and is a predicted model, not a curated record. The transcript has 3 exons.
UCUUCAGUCGAUCAGCCAUGGACAAAGGUUUGCUGCUGGUCCUGUUGUGUCUGCAGGUCGUCCUGCUCACCACAGCCUUCACUUCUGCUGAUGCAGCCGCUCUGCUGAGAGAUGAUCAGCAUCAACUCCAGGCUGUUUAUCUGAUGAGACGUCUGCAGCAAGUGAAACAAAUAGGAGAAAUGGAGAAGAGACUUCGACUCUGCGCGAGGAAACGAGGAGGAUGUGGUUGGCCAUCAAGCAACGUUUGACCAGUACAUGCUCUCUGAAUAUAGACGUCUAGAGUCAAGCUCUGCAGGAAGUGCCAUCAGAUGUAGAAGAUAGCAAAUGAAUGAAGAUAAUUGUAAUGCUUAUUAAAAAUGCAAAUGCUUUUAAUUAGAAAUAAAAGAUUUCAAAUUAGA